Molecule: long non-coding RNA, 1010 nt
Organism: Siniperca chuatsi (mandarin fish)
Lineage: Eukaryota; Metazoa; Chordata; Actinopteri; Centrarchiformes; Sinipercidae
Exons: 2
Source: RefSeq, a predicted model, not a curated record
GUUUAGCUUUAUGGAUUAUAUAGAUGCCAAAGCGACAAGAAGACUGCCGACAUAUGACGCCUUUUAUUUUGUGUUUCUAGAGUUAUGUGUUUUUGCGGACACAAGGAGAAUAUAGUCUACUCUUGAGACGAAAUUGGAGUUUGCCUCUGGAGCCUCAACAGUGCCUCCACUGGAAUUUCCACAAUUGAGUUCCUCCAUGAAGCCAACAGAAUCUUUCUAGAGGCAAAUACCUGCCUUAUAAUCCUCUGCCUACCCAUACAUAAUGGUUAUGAUACCUUCAAGAAAUAUAUGACUCUGCAGAGGGAAUUCUGCAGGACCCUACUUUUGGUGUUGUGUGAACAGUCUGUAAAAUAAUGAGUUCACCCAAAACAUAGCUGUUUCUGUCUAACAAGUUGUUGCUGCUGUUCUACACUGAUAACUGUCAAAAGUGUUAAGGAAAUAGGACUUGUGAGAUGAGGCACUUUAUUAAGCAAAUAGUGUACCACAAAAAACUGCUGUUUCAUCAAAAUGUGUGUCUAAUAAAUAAACACAAUUCACAGGCAUCAACCUAUGUCAUGGAGUGACAACCCUUAACAGUUAAGUAAAAUGUAUGUUUCUUUCCACGGUUGCCAUUGCUACACAUUAUGUAAACACAGAUCUCAUAUGUGAAAUGUAAUGUAUUCUGACUUCAAAUAUUGAGCACAUUAAACACUGUGGUUUACACUUUCACAGUUUUACAGAGUUUUACAAUGAUUUCAAACAACUUUGCAAUGUUUUCAGAAUUUUCCACUGUUAUGUGAACAUGUAUCUUAUGUGAAAUGUAAUGUAUUCUGACUUCAAAGAUUGAGCACUUUCACAGUUCGCAAUGCAAUGUUCUACAGAGUUGCAAUGUUUUACAGUGUUUUUACAAUGAUUUCAAACAAGAAUUGUACAAUGUUUACAUAAUUUUACUAUGUUUACAAUAGGUACAACUCUUGAGUGGGGACAUUAAAGGUAGAACUGAACAAAUAAACUGAUUGUUUCAACCUUGA